RNAcentral lists this ribosomal RNA (508 nucleotides) under uncultured bacterium. RNAcentral describes it as "partial 16S ribosomal RNA". It matches the Rfam family "Bacterial small subunit ribosomal RNA", at positions 28 to 507 of the family's 1533-position model. The record is from RNAcentral.
GACGAACGCUGGCGGCGUGCCUAAUACAUGCAAGUCGAACGCUUCUUUCCUCCCGAGUGCUUGCACUCAAUUGGAAAGAGGAGUGGCGGACGGUUGAGUAACACGUGUGUAACCUACCCAUCAGAGGGGGAUAACACUUGGAAACAGGUGCUAAUACCGCAUAACAGUUUAUGCCGCAUGGCAUAAGAGUGAAAGGCGCUUUCGGGUGUCGCUGAUGGAUGGACCCGCGGUGCAUUAGCUAGUUGGUGAGGUAACGGCUCACCAAGGCCACGAUGCAUAGCCGACCUGAGAGGGUGAUCGGCCACACUGGGACUGAGACACGGCCCAGACUCCUACGGGAGGCAGCAGUAGGGAAUCUUCGGCAAUGGACGAAAGUCUGACCGAGCAACGCCGCGUGAGUGAAGAAGGUUUUCGGAUCGUAAAACUCUGUUGUUAGAGAAGAACAAGGACGUUAGUAACUGAACGUCCCCUGACGGUAUCUAACCAGAAAGCCACGGCUAACUACGUG